GUUGAAGACAGGAUGUCCGCGCGCUGAACACAUAGGCACGUGAGACGAAGACCCGGUGAACUGAAACAUCUAAGUAGCCGGAGGAAAAGAAAACAAUUUGAUCUUUUAUCUAGGUUGGUGACCUUUCACCGAUUUGGAUAAGAGAUUUCCAUUCCCUGAGUAGUGGCGAGCGAAAAGGGAGCAGCCCAAACCAUCAAGACCACGUACGUAUUUUUUCACUUCGGUGAGACAACGCGUGCUGAAGGAAUUAGGUCCAUAUGUCUUAGUGGUGUUGCAAGAUAGCCGUGCUCACUACCUAAUGCGGUGAGGUGAUUUCGUAUUUUAUUAGUUGAAUUGAGUUGGAAAACUCGGCCAGAGACGGUGAUAGCCCGGUAAACGAAAAUAAUUUACGCGUCAUGAUGGCAUAUUCUUAAGUACUGCGGGACUCGUGAAAUCCCGUAGGAAUCUGGGUCGACUAUGACCCAAGGCUAAAUAUUUCUUGAGAUCGAUAGUGAACUAGUACCGUGAGGGAAAGGUGAAAAGCAUCCCGGUGAGGGAGAUGAAAUAGUAUCUGAAACCAUAUACUUACAAGCAGUCGGAGCCUUAGUUUACUAGGGUGACGGCGUGCCUAUUGAAGAAUGAGCCAACGAGUUUGUUGUAUGCGGCUUGAUUAAUCCGCUUGAAGCGGAGCAGUCACAGUGAAAGCGAGGGUUAACCCCCGUACUCUUACUUAUUAGAAACGACAGUAAGGCUUCGGCUUUAUCGUCUUUCUAAUAUGUAAGAAGGUCGCAUGCACAAGACCCGAAACCCGGUGAUCUAACCAUGGCCAGGUUGAACCUUGUAGAAAUACAAGGGGAGGACCGAACCCGUAAGUCGUGCAACACUUUGGGAUGAGCUGUGGUUAGCGGAGAAAUUCCAAUCGAACUCGGCAAUAGCUGGUUCUCCUCGAAAUAGCUUUAGGGCUAGCCUCGAGCGCUGAACGUAGGGGGUAGAGCACUGAAUGGGAACGGGCCGCAAGGUACCUUUCUCAACCAAACUCCGAAUACCUACGCGUGCAGCUCGGGAGUCAGACUAUGGGCGCUAAGGUCCAUUAGUCUAAAGGGAAACAGCCCAGAUCGCCAGCUAAGGUCCCUAAAUAUAUGCUAAGUGUAAAAGGUGGUGUCGUGACUGCGACAACUAGGAGGUUGGCUUAGAAGCAGCCAUCCUUUAAAGAUAGCGUAAUAGCUCACUAGUCUAGUCGUCUCGCGCCGAAAAUGUACCGGGGCUAAGCAUAUUACCGAAGAUGCGGGCUUGCCACGCAAGUGGUGAGCGGUAGAGGAGCAUUCCAAGACCGCUGAAGUCGCAACGUGAGUUGUGGUGGAGGGCUUGGAAGAGAGAAUGUUGGCAUAAGUAGCACAAAGGCGGGUGAAAACCCCGCCCACCGAAAAUCUAAGGGUUCCUGGGCAACGCAAAUCGACCCAGGGUGAGUCGGUCCUAAGGCGAGGCUGCUGUAGUGGCAGCGUAGUCGAUGGAUGAGCUGGUUAAUAUUCCAGCACUACUGUAAUUUUCCGAUGGGGGGACAAAGUUUUGAGGUUUGAGCGUCUCUAUGGUAUGGACGUCGCUGGCCGUUAGGAUAGAUCUAGGCAAAUCCGGAUCAAUAUUCCGAGCGGUUGGGGGAAGACAAAGCCUUCGGGUAGCGUCAAUUCAAGCUGAAAGAUUUUCAAGAAAAACCUCUAGGGCUAAGGUUACAGUAACCGUACCGUAAACCGACACAGGUAGAUGAGGCGAGGAGCCUCAGGUGUACGAGAGAACCCUCGUUAAGGAACUCGGCAAAAUAGCGGUCGUAAGUUAGCAAUAAGACCUGCCUGGAGCAAUCCGGGCCGCAGCGAAAGAUUCCAAGUGACUGUUUAGCAAAAACACAGCUCCCUGCUAACUCGCAAGAGGAUGUAUAGGGGGUGAUGCCUGGCCAGUGUCCGAACGUUAAGAGGAGAGGUCAUUUUCCUUCGGGAAGAGAAGCUUUGAAUUGAAGCGCGGAUGAACGCCGGCCGUAACUAUAACGGUCCUAAGGUAGCGAAAUUCCUUGUCGGGUAAGUUCC
Molecule: ribosomal RNA, 2054 nt
Filed under: activated sludge metagenome
Description: bacterial LSU rRNA
Rfam family: Bacterial large subunit ribosomal RNA
Source: RNAcentral